This is a long non-coding RNA of Amphimedon queenslandica, 341 nucleotides long. RefSeq lists it as uncharacterized. The transcript is spliced from 2 exons. Lineage: Eukaryota; Metazoa; Porifera; Demospongiae; Haplosclerida; Niphatidae. The record is from RefSeq and is a predicted model, not a curated record.
GGGAGACAGUGUUGUUUAUUCUGAGUUUGCUUUAGGGUGGAUCAGUCAUUACUGCUGAAAUGGCUCAGAAUGAAAGAACUGUUCACACCAACUUCUUCAAUGACUUUGAUGAUAUUUUUAAUGACGAAGACUUGGACUAAUUUUUAAAAAUAAUUAUUCAUCACCGUGUUACUGUACAAAAAUUUAAUCAAUUUGUGUUUGGAAAUAACUGAGAUUAUUUAGGAUUGACAUCACUCAUAAUUUAGACAAUUUGAAUGUUUAUCAACAUUGUGUUCUACAGUAUAGUUAUGCUCAUAUGUAAUCUUCACCAGUAGCAUCAGUUGAUGCUUAAAUCUCAUAAA